UACAGAGGUCUCAAGCGUUGUUCGGAUUCAUUGGGCGUAAAGGGUGCGUAGGCGGCGCGGUAAGUCGGGUGUGAAAUCUCGGAGCUUAACUCCGAAACUGCAUUCGAUACUGCCGUGCUUGAGGACUGGAGAGGAGACUGGAAUUUACGGUGUAGCGGUGAAAUGCGUAGAUAUCGGAAAGAACACCAACGGCGAAAGCACUCUGCUGGGCCGACACUGACACUGAGAGACGAAAGCUAGGGGAGCGAAUGGG
RNAcentral lists this ribosomal RNA (253 nucleotides) under uncultured bacterium. RNAcentral's name for it is "partial 16S ribosomal RNA". It matches the Rfam family "Bacterial small subunit ribosomal RNA", at positions 524 to 776 of the family's 1533-position model. The record is from RNAcentral.